RNAcentral lists this ribosomal RNA (555 nucleotides) under uncultured bacterium. Its description in RNAcentral is "partial 16S ribosomal RNA". It matches the Rfam family "Bacterial small subunit ribosomal RNA", at positions 355 to 900 of the family's 1533-position model. The record is from RNAcentral.
UAGGGAAUCCUCCACAAUGGACGCAAGUCUGAUGGAGCAACGCCGCGUGAGUGAAGAAGGUUUUCGGAUCGUAAAGCUCUGUUGUUGGUGAAGAAGGAUAGAGGCAGUAACUGGUCUUUAUUUGACGGUAAUCAACCAGAAAGUCACGGCUAACUACGUGCCAGCAGCCGCGGUAAUACGUAGGUGGCAAGCGUUGUCUGGAUUUAUUGGGCGUAAAGCGAGCGCAGGCGGAAUGAUAAGUCUGAUGUGAAAGCCCACGGCUCAACCGUGGAACUGCAUCGGAAACUGCCAUUCUUGAGUGCAGAAGAGGAGAGUGGAACUCCAUGUGUAGCGGUGGAAUGCGUAGAUAUAUGGAAGAACACCAGUGGCGAAGGCGGCUCUCUGGUCUGCAACUGACGCUGAGGCUCGAAAGCAUGGGUAGCGAACAGGAUUAGAUACCCUGGUAGUCCAUGCCGUAAACGAUGAGCGCUAGGUGUUGGGGACUUUCCGGUUCUCAGUGCCGCAGCAAACGCAUUGAGCGCUCCGCCUGGGGGAGUACGACCGCAAGGUUGAAAC